AUGCUCCCAGGGAAGGUUGCUCUUCUCAGGAUUGUGUUUUGGAGAAUGUCCCAGCAUCUCUUCCAGGAAACCUGCAAACCAGCUGCGAGUGCAGUGAAAUUGGGUGGUUAUUCAAUGCAGGAGUCCUCAUUCAAUUUUUUACCUGUUUGUAGGUCCCAGAUGUUGGAUUUUUGGCUGUCCAUUCCAACUAUCUGUGAGUCCCUAGCACUUUUGCCAGUGUCAAGGCACAUGCUCCCAGAUAAUAUGAAUUAUGAAGAUACAGGCAAAAAAAAAUUAUGCAGUAUAUCAAUUCAUAGAGUCCAAUAUUAAUGUAUUAAAAUACUAAUUGCUGUACCAAAUUAACCCUCCUACUUGUGCAGAAGCAAAACUCCUUGACAAUGUAGUUUCUUAAAAAAAGAGAAAAUCGAACCUCUUUUAAAACAGGUUUUCUUCAGCUUUUCUUUUUUUUUCUUUUUUUUUUUCUUUUUCUUCUUUUUUUUUUUUUUCCAAAACAACAUUUUACCAAUAGUGUCAUGGUUAAAUGAACUUGAAACAAUAAGGUAAUUUUGAAUGGAAAACUGUUAUCUUGACAUUGACUUUUCAUGUGCAAAGAGAGAAUGGUCCAUCGGAAAAGGAGAAGGAAAAAGUGCACUAAGAAGGAUCAAUGCCUUGCAGAUGUUUAUCUGGGGGAUUUUUGAUGAUGUUUUUGGUGCAAUUCCAUGACUGUUAUUUUCCCUUAAAAUACAUGAAAAUGCUUAAUUAUGCUUAAAUGAAAAUGCUUACAGUACACACCCAGAUGCUCCAUUUGGGAUGCCUUUCAACCUCCACUUGCCCUUUUGAAUAGAGAAAUGGCCAGACAUUUAUGAGAGGUUCCAGCAUUGUCUUUUGUCCGGCAGCACAGCAGGGUGCCCCAUCUCCCACACAUCAAAGACCAGCCUUUCCCUCCCCAGGGUCUCCUCAAUCCCCUCGUUGCUCCAUGAAACAUCCUCAUCUCCUUCCCCACAUCUUCCCACCAUGCCUCCCACAGAAUUGCUGCUGCCCUUCUUCCUCCUCCUCAUUCUAUUCCUCUUCCUCCUCUUCAUGCCCUGCCUCUGCCACCGUACUGGAAUCUUCCUUUUCCCAUUUCAGGUGAUUUCAGGUUUCUUAGCAAAAAAUGCGUAAGUUAUAGGAAAAUAGCAAUGAUUUGAUUUAAUCACGCUUACUCCCUUCUGAGAAGGCAUCUAUUUCAUAUAACAUUUUUUUUUUUUAAGUCUGUGGUCUCCCAUCAUCUUUUAAUAGAAGAGGGUCACAGGGAAAAAUGUAGCUCAAAACACAUCCAGAAAAUUUCACAGCCUUUCACAGGGAAAGACUGUCCUGUGUUAUGUUUUGAUUUCUGUUCAGGGGAGGAGGUGGUGGUGCUGUUCAUCUCAUCUAAGUACGUACCACUGCUACAAACUUAUAUUUAGACAGUUCCUGAUCCCAGCUGUCUCUAAACUAGAAUAUAGGUGUGCAUCACUUGUAGCAAAUGGGGACUUGUCAUCUGUUCCAACUGGAUGCAAUUGACUUGCAAGACCUAAAAACUGUUGGACCAAUAUGUGAACACAGCCACUGAAAAUAUCCUUUGCAAAGCAAAAUACUCUGUGAGUUUACGGGUAAGAAGAGUGCACAGGAAGAAAUAAUUUUCUAUGCAACAGAUUGCUGCUGAGUAGUGCAGAGAUUGGAGAAGUCUGGUUUGCUCCUACAGCCUCACCCAUCCCUGCAAUCUUUGAGUCUUUCAAACUCCUGUCCAAUAGCUGAUGUUUUUUCAUCCACUUCAAAGUUCUUUGUUUCAGCAUCCCUGCCAGUAAGCCCCUCAAGGAUACAAGUUACAACUAUACCCUUGUGAAGACAGCCGCACAAUAACACUCCACAGGAUGAGCAAUAAACUGAAGAGGAAUGACA
Molecule: long non-coding RNA, 1899 nt
Filed under: Anser cygnoides (Swan goose)
Lineage: Eukaryota; Metazoa; Chordata; Aves; Anseriformes; Anatidae
Description: lncRNA (ENSACDG00005005096.1)
Source: RNAcentral